AGCUUUGCGCAGUGGCAGUAUCGUUGCCAAUGAGGUUUAUCCGAGGAGCGAUUAUUGCUAAUUGAAAACUUUCUUGUCUGUAGGCACGUCAACUCUUUAAAGAGCUCUACAUUGAUCCGUCAAAAGUUCACAAUUUGUUGCAGUUGGGAUUUACUGCCCA
This 160-nucleotide small nuclear RNA is filed under the name Canis lupus familiaris (dog). RNAcentral's name for it is "U4 spliceosomal RNA (ENSCAFG00845011021.1)". It matches the Rfam family "U4 spliceosomal RNA". From Rfam's summary of the family: U4 small nuclear RNA (U4 snRNA) is a component of the major U2-dependent spliceosome. The structure of U4 snRNA from yeast and human has been reported. U4 snRNA presents a k-turn RNA motif in the 5p-SL related to recognition of Snu13 protein. The record is from Rfam by way of RNAcentral. Lineage: Eukaryota; Metazoa; Chordata; Mammalia; Carnivora; Canidae.